UUUUUUAUUUUAGUAUCAUCUAAUACAAUACACAGUGGCUCACUCCUAAAUGUUAAAACAUAUUUGUCUCUUUCAUCUCUGUCUAGGGUUUGGUCUUUUCAUCAAUUUGAUCUCUUUCAUCAAUAUCUUCAUAAUUGAUUUUGGUGAUGAGAAGAUUUCACGGUAUAGAUCACUUGCUUAAACUCAUAGUUGAAACACCCAUCUUCUAACGAAUCUUGUUUUUAGGCGAAGGGUUUAUGGAAGCCGAUUUUGGGGUUGUGGGUGCGGAUUUCUUCACAUAUGGUGAUUUUGGAAGCUUCAAAAUCUGGCAUUAGGGUUUAAUUCUCGAAAUUCUUGCAGAAUUAGGCCAUAACUCCGGUGGACUUGUCUCUGAAUCUAAAUCAGUACUAUCUUAGUACUAAUUACUCCAUGGGAGAGAGAAAAUUGUUGGACCAUCAUCCGAGGAUGGGAGGGGUGGAAGAACUACUUCAUUCAACAUUAUUCCUAGUAGUACUAGAGCUAUUAAGGUUGUCGGAAGGUGAAACCAAUGGAAUGUUUACUUGGAUGUCUUUCCAAGUUACAACUAUCGAUGUCCCUGUGGUUGAUCUCACUGUGAGGAUGUAGAUAGUAACAUAUGAUAUCAAGUAAGAUUGUGUACUUUACUUCUUUUACCCACCCCCCCACCCCCUUCCCUGAAAAAUAUCAAUAACUUGUGUACUUUAUUAUAUAUCCUGGCAUGUGUACAUUACAAGCCUCCCUCUGUGGAUCUAAGUUUUGCAAACAAAGGUGUAACAGUGAUGGGAGAAAUAGUAGUGGUGGACUUAUGGCCAUGUGAGCUGCUCUUUUAUAUUUCUACGUUGACAUUUUAUUAGGGAGGAGUUUGAAAGAAUCUUGAAGGGAAGUCUAGGUUGCACUGAAAUUUCCUUUAUUGUAUUGACCCAGCUUGUACCACACUAGAGAGCUGACGUGUUUAUGACUGAACUGAUUAUCGCUCACUUUCUCACUCCAUGGAAGACACUUGAUUUAGUUGCUGCUAUUUUCAUUCUUUUUUUAACUGCUGCUCAAACUUAUUUCACGGUUUUUCCUAUAAAUUGAUGCUUGAGCAGGAAUUAUGCCUUCAUGUGUCUUGAUCCAUCGUACAUUUUUUAGCACUAUGUCAGUAAUGCUUUUAAAGUAAUCUCUUUUGUUUUUCAGAUUUGCAUAGAGAAGGCACAGUUCAUUUGGAUUUGUUUGUUGUCUGAAAAUAAUCAAUCAUUCCAAUCUUGACAAAUAAAGUGCAAUUGUUUCUUUUCUCUCAUUACUACAUAUUUAUUGGUUUGAUUCCUUAAAAUCAUGUAAAUUGUUCAUUUCAAUAAAGGUGACCCUUUACUAGUAUUCCCCACUACCAUAACACAACAGGUUUGUAAUUUAAAUGAAAAUGAUAUGCAAACUGGUAAACUAGUUGUCAGGUAGCUAAUAGGUAAAAGUAUCUACAAUUAAUCAUCAAACUUUUGUUUCCUGCAAGCUCAAUUUAAAUUUUUUAGUUUUCUUUAAGGUAAGACCCGUAGAAAGAUCAAGACUAGUUAUAUAUGUUUAACUGAUCUUACAUGGUUAAGUCAUUUUGUGACAAUAGCUAUUGUCAUAUAAAAUGAACGAGUGGAAUACAUAAUUGGAACCCCUAUUCACAAACUUUAAAUUUGUAGAAUAAAGCUAUAUUUUGUGAAUGUGCACCCUUCUGGUAUGUUGCUAUUUUAGCAGGUCUUCUUUCUGUUAAAUACCUGUGUUGUGCUUGUGCAUUUUUAAUAUUUAGUAAAGCUUUUGAGAAUAAUUGCAUUUGUGGUGACAUGAAAGUAUAUAGGCUGUUAUUUUCAAGCUUUAUUCAUCAUUUUUUACAUAACUAGAGGUCAUGUGACUGUACAUUGAGAUUUCUGCUAACUGUAUGAGCCAAACUCGAGCAUUGCCAUGUGUUUAUAUUGAGUGGCCUUGUGUUUCUUAUUUUCUUUGGUUGUAUGUCGGUAGAGUACCUUAUCUAAAACUUUCUCUUCUAUGCAAUUCGGAUAAAGCUGAAUGAAGGCGAAGCACUAAUUGGAGCAAUUUUCGAAGCCCCCAAUUUAUUGACAUGAUAGAAGUCCGGAAUUGUUAGAGCAACAGUGAUCACAACAAUAAUUACAUUUGAUCAAAGGGAUGUUGCAACUAGAAUGUAUUACGAGACCAUGGAAGGAAAUAUGAAGAGAAGACUUUAUGAUCUUGGAUCUCAAGGGAAACUCUAUUAUGAACUUGGUCCUACUUUCGAUCCUGAUGAACAUCACUCUCCAGCAGCACAUUAGUUAGCUUUGUCUUUCAAUUCUAUCAGUUGAAGAGCAAUUUUGAACGUUGAUGCUUUAGGAUUUAUGUAUUUUUGGAUCUACUUGUUAAUCUUCAGAUUACUAUUUAUAUGGAA
Molecule: long non-coding RNA, 2398 nt
Organism: Lycium barbarum (goji berry)
Lineage: Eukaryota; Viridiplantae; Streptophyta; Magnoliopsida; Solanales; Solanaceae
Exons: 3
Source: RefSeq, a predicted model, not a curated record